UCACAAUGCCUAACUUUCUUUGA
RNAcentral lists this non-coding RNA (23 nucleotides) under Arabidopsis thaliana (thale cress). Lineage: Eukaryota; Viridiplantae; Streptophyta; Magnoliopsida; Brassicales; Brassicaceae. The record is from RNAcentral.